AAGUUUCUUCAGCAGAUCCGUCAGUUACGCUCAGGGAGGCGAUCCUAAGAGAUGUCAGGCAACUCUGGGCUUAGAUGUUGAGGCUGCUGGUUUGCAAAUGCUCUAUCCAUGUGCUGGACUGAACAGCGGGCACAGAGCAAGAACUGCCCUGUCUCUUUCAACCAAGUCUGCCAGUUUAUCCAAAAGUUGGCCUCUUUCCGAUGCAUCCAUUCUCCUCCAAACUGAACCCAGAGAAAAAGCAAGGCGAGCUGCUCUCACUGCCUUGUCCGUGUCAACCUUGUCUGCUUCCUGGAUCUCACAGAUCUGCUCUCCUGUUGCUGGAUUGUAUACUGGGAAUACUCUCCCGCUUUCAG
This 353-nucleotide long non-coding RNA is filed under the name Gallus gallus (chicken). The record is from RNAcentral. Lineage: Eukaryota; Metazoa; Chordata; Aves; Galliformes; Phasianidae.